Molecule: long non-coding RNA, 683 nt
Organism: Carassius gibelio (silver crucian carp)
Lineage: Eukaryota; Metazoa; Chordata; Actinopteri; Cypriniformes; Cyprinidae
Exons: 3
Source: RefSeq, a predicted model, not a curated record
CCACCUAUGGAGAGAGAGUGAACAGUGGGAAGUUAGGAUAGUAGGGUGAAUUUGGGUAAAAAAUACUCAACUGGCAUUUAAAAAUACAUAAAAAGUUCUAUAAUAUACUUGAAUUCUUAAAAAAGAAAAAAGAAAAAAAGAAAUAUGACUUGGACUGUGCAUAUGUUCAUUGAUAGGUUUCAUCUGACCAACCAACAAAUAGUGAUCAACAGAACCAUGCAUUUUGAAGAUCACCUGUCCAGUGGAUCUCCAACUAAAAAGGGCUCAGGAAAACAACAAGGACAUCUAAUGACUUCCUAAAUCAUUCCGGGGGAUGAUGCAGCCAAAUGUGUGUGACCCAUACAGAAAGUCCUCUGAGCUGGAAAGUGAUGAGGCCGUUGCCGAUCUCAACAAGGUGAACGAGAGCGUUGAGGUAAUCAGAUGCCAGGAUGAAGCAGUCUCCGGUGCUGUAGUUUCCCCAGCGGCCCAGCUGCAGGUCUCCACAUAGAGAAUGCUGCAGGGACCGCGUCAAAUGCUCAUAGAAGAUGGAGUUCAGAAGCGCACUGGUCGCACGUAGGAGCUGAUGAAAAUGGCACUGCCGAGAAAAGGGUUUAAUGGAGUGGAGAACACAGCAGACACAAUGGCCUGUACAAACAACAUGGCAGAGUCUGGAGGGGGCGGAGUCAAGGAAGAACACAGAGAAU